This 149-nucleotide unclassified non-coding RNA is filed under the name Potato yellow dwarf virus. RNAcentral describes it as "Potato yellow dwarf nucleorhabdovirus miscellaneous RNA". Lineage: Riboviria; Orthornavirae; Negarnaviricota; Monjiviricetes; Mononegavirales; Rhabdoviridae. The record is from RNAcentral.
CCAAGAUGGCCGAAAUGUGGAGAACAUCCCGAUUAAUCGAGUUAAUCUUGCUUAUGGUGGUGGUUCUACCUUCUGGAUCCAGUACAAUGGGUCCACGCAUACUGUUCCUCCGAACACCAGCACAGAUAGCAAAAUAGUCUUAAAUAAAA